RNAcentral lists this long non-coding RNA (1224 nucleotides) under Amphibalanus amphitrite. Its description in RNAcentral is "uncharacterized LOC122391297, transcript variant X1". Lineage: Eukaryota; Metazoa; Arthropoda; Thecostraca; Balanomorpha; Balanidae. The record is from RNAcentral.
CCAAGGAAUGAGGUGUUUGUGUGGAAAUCCCAUUACACCAUCAAGAGGGAGACCGCACUGACAGGGGUCCAAGAUCCAUCUCAGGCCCUACUGUAGACUGCCCGCCAGCAGACGGAGGCCCACCGACGGACGUCGGCUCAAUGGCCAACAGUGGCCCGCCGGCCGGCUGACGGUGGCUCGCCGACCGACGCCGGCCCGUCGGCCGACCACGGCCCACCAGUUGAUGGUGGCCCGCCAGCUGACGGAGGUCCGCCGGCCAUUCGUAGCACGCCCGCCGACGGCAGCUCGAUGCACAUCCUGGCCUUAACUAUGGCUAUGUCACCCCCAAGAUUAGUUCGCCCCCCCCCCCCCCCCAAGUCCCUAGGUCACCAGUUGCGGGCGCUCCAUCUGACGGUGUCGUCCGACGGCUCCACGGUGACCAGCGCCGCCACUGCGGAAACCUUCGGACCCCGAAAAUGCUGCUAACCGUACACGAACAAAAGGCGCCAUGCACCCAGGACCAGCGCCCUGCUCCGAGGCGGUAUCCAAAGAAGGCCGCAUAGUGCACUUGCUGUGCUAAGGCAUAGUGCGCGCUGACUGAUAGGAACAAAUGACGGUCAGUUAUCAGAUCUCAGUAUGGAACUCAAGAUGGUCGGAGCCGACCUGGCCCGGUGGAUGGUGUGCCAGGGUUGAUUAAGUGUCGAAAGGAGUGAGACGCCCAGAUAUGUGAAGGAUACGUCGAUACGAGCCCCGGCUUCGACUCCCCGUCCCAAAACGAUGUUGGCUGUGAUUGGAGUUUGGUAUCUUUACGGAUUCCCCCCCCCCCACCCCACCCCGGAAUUUGUGCUAUGUAAUAGGACGAUAAUAUGUCGUGGUCUCAUUUUGGCUCGAUAUGGUAAUAGGUACUUAAUUGGAUAGAUGUUGAUGGUAUUGGUGGUGGAUGUAAAUGACAGGUUUGGCGAGCGCGAACUAGUAAUCGUGAGUGCACUAGCUGCAAUCAGUCGCGCGCUUAUUGCUGAGCACCUGUGAGCAAGAAAAUGGUAUGAAAGUGGUAGUUCCUCGUGAAAUCUGUGUACUUUUGGAUUAAGUUUUCAGAACAGAAGUGUAUUUUUGCCGUGUCCACUGCAGCUCUGGAACAGAAACAUAGAGAUCGGCUGUGUGCUGUAGCAGGGGCAAGUAGUCCGUGCCAAAAAAAAAAUCAAAGGUGAUAUGUGAAUUUAAGUGAAUAUACCUCGCUUUAUUUUC